This 497-nucleotide ribosomal RNA is filed under the name uncultured bacterium. Its description in RNAcentral is "partial 16S ribosomal RNA". It matches the Rfam family "Bacterial small subunit ribosomal RNA", at positions 28 to 507 of the family's 1533-position model. The record is from RNAcentral.
GACGAACGCUGGCGGCGUGCCUAAUACAUGCAAGUUGAGCGCUGAAGGUUGGUACUUGUACCAACUGGAUGAGCAGCGAACGGGUGAGUAACGCGUGGGGAAUCUGCCUUUGGGCGGGGGACAACAUUUGGAAACGAAUGCUAAUACCGCAUAAAAACAUUAAACACAAGUUUUAAGUUUGAAAGAUGCAAUUGCAUCACUCAAAGAUGAUCCCGCGUUGUAUUAGCUAGUUGGUGAGGUAAAGGCUCACCAAGGCGAUGAUACAUAGCCGACCUGAGAGGGUGAUCGGCCACAUUGGGACUGAGACACGGCCCAAACUCCUACGGGAGGCAGCAGUAGGGAAUCUUCGGCAAUGGACGAAAGUCUGACCGAGCAACGCCGCGUGAGUGAAGAAGGUUUUCGGAUCGUAAAACUCUGUUGGUAGAGAAGAACGUUGGUGAGAGUGGAAAGCUCAUCAAGUGACGGUAACUACCCAGAAAGGGACGGCUAACUACGUG